CAGGUGGGUGAGGCGAGUAGCCUCAGGUGAACGAGUGAGACGUGGUCAAGGAACUCGGCAUACUGAUCCCGUAACUUCGGAAGAAGGGAUGCCAGAGGGGGUCACGGACUUCGCGUCCGGAGCUCCACUUUGGUCGCAGCGAAUCGGCCCAAGCGACUGUUUAGCAAAAACACAGGUGUGUGCCAAGCCGCACAAGGCGCCGUAUACACACUGACGCCUGCCCGGUGCCGGAAGGUUAAGGGGAGAGGUCAACCGCAAGGUGAAGCCUUGAGCCGAAGCCCCGGUAAACGGCGGCCGUAACGAUAACGGUCCUAAGGUAGCGAAAUUCCUUGUCGGGUAAGUUCCGACCUGCACGAAUGGCGUAACGACUUGGGCACUGUCUCGACCACGCGCUCGGCGAAAUUGCAGUCUCGGUGAGGAUUCCGAGUCCCCGCGACAGGACAAAAAGACCCCAUGCACCUUUACUGCAGCUUGUCAUUGGUCGUUGCACUUCACUGUGUAGCAUAGGUGGGACCCGUUGAGACCCCGGCGCUAGCUGGGGUGGAGGGGCCAGUGAAAUACCACCCUGUGUUGUGCGACGCCCUCACCACGUCAGGAAAACCCUGGCUGGGACCGUGGCAGGUGGGCAGUUUGACUGGGGCGGUCGCCUCCGAAAGAGUAACGGAGGCGCGCGAAGGUAGGCUCAGCGCGGUCGGUACUCGCGCUUGAAGAGUGCAAGAGCAUAAGCCUGCCUGACGGCGAGACCGACGGGUCGAGCCGCCACGAAAGUGGGUUCUAGUGAUCCGGUAGCCCCGGGUGGAAGGGCUAUCGCGCAACGGAUAAAAGGUACGCUGGGGAUAACAGGCUUAUCGCAUCCGAGAGUUCACAUCGACGAUGCGGUUUGGCACCUCGAUGUCGGCUUAUCACAUCCUGGGGCUGGAGAAGGUCCCAAGGGUCCGGCUGUUCGCCGGUUAAAGUGGUACAUGAGCUGGGUUCAGAACGUCGUGAGACAGUUCGGUCUGUAUCCGUCGUGGGCGUCGGAAAGUUGAGGGGAGCGGACUCUAGUACGAGAGGACCGAGUCGGACGAUCCGCUCGUGUCCCGGUUGUCCCGCCAGGGGCAACGCCGGGUAGCGAUGAUCGGCUGUGAUAACCGCUGAAUGCAUCUAAGUGGGAAGCACGCCCCAAGAUGAACUUUCCCGAGGCCAUGAGCCUCCUAAAGGGCCGUCAGAGACUAUGACGUCGAUAGGCCGCCUGUGGAAGGGGCGCAAACCCCUCCAAGCAUAGCGGUCCUAAUCGCCCGUGCGGCUUGACUAC
RNAcentral lists this ribosomal RNA (1294 nucleotides) under metagenome. RNAcentral's name for it is "bacterial LSU rRNA". It matches the Rfam family "Bacterial large subunit ribosomal RNA", at positions 1660 to 2925 of the family's 2925-position model. The record is from RNAcentral.